This 308-nucleotide ribosomal RNA is filed under the name uncultured bacterium. RNAcentral describes it as "partial 16S ribosomal RNA". It matches the Rfam family "Bacterial small subunit ribosomal RNA", at positions 505 to 807 of the family's 1533-position model. The record is from RNAcentral.
GAGACAGCAGUCGCCGCGGGAAUACGUAGGGUGCAAGCGUUAAUCGGAAUUACUGGGCGUAAAGCGUGCGCAGGCGGUUAUAUAAGUCAGAUGUGAAAUCCCCGGGCUCAACCUGGGAACUGCAUUUGGGGCUGUAUGGCUAGAGUGUGUCAGAGGGGGGUAGAAUUCCACGUGUAGCAGUGAAAUGCGUAGAUAUGUGGAGGAAUACCGAUGGCGAAGGCAGCCCCCUGGGAUGACACUGACGCUCAUGCACGAAAGCGUGGGGAGCAAACAGGAUUAGAUACCCCCGUAGUCCCUGUCUCUUAUAC